Molecule: ribosomal RNA, 482 nt
Filed under: uncultured bacterium
Lineage: Bacteria
Description: partial 16S ribosomal RNA
Rfam family: Bacterial small subunit ribosomal RNA
Source: RNAcentral
ACGAACGCUGGCGGCGUGCUUAACACAUGCAAGUCGAACGCUGAAGCUCAGCUUUUGUUGGGUGGAUGAGUGGCGAACGGGUGAGUAACACGUGAGUAACCUGCCCCCUUCUUUGGGAUAACGCCCGGAAACGGGUGCUAACACUGGAUAUUCACUGGUCUUCGCAUGGGGGUUGGUGGAAAGGGUUUUUCUGGUGGGGGAUGGGCUCGCGGCCUAUCAGCUUGUUGGUGGGGUGAUGGCCUACCAAGGCUUUGACGGGUAGCCGGCCUGAGAGGGUGACCGGUCACAUUGGGACUGAGAUACGGCCCAGACUCCUACGGGAGGCAGCAGUGGGGAAUAUUGCACAAUGGGCGCAAGCCUGAUGCAGCGACGCCGCGUGAGGGAUGGAGGCCUUCGGGUUGUGAACCUCUUUCGCUCAUGGUCAAGCCGCAACAAUGGUUGUGGUGAGGGUAGUGGGUAAAGAAGCGCCGGCUAACUACGUG